CCUCUCGUGGUGUAAAGGUAACGCGUCCUAUCUAGUAAACGGGAAGUCGUGAGUUCGAUUCUCACCGAGAAGA
RNAcentral lists this transfer RNA (73 nucleotides) under Aedes aegypti (yellow fever mosquito). It matches the Rfam family "tRNA". From Rfam's summary of the family: Transfer RNA (tRNA) molecules are approximately 80 nucleotides in length. Their secondary structure includes four short double-helical elements and three loops (D, anti-codon, and T loops). The record is from Rfam by way of RNAcentral. Lineage: Eukaryota; Metazoa; Arthropoda; Insecta; Diptera; Culicidae.